GUUUUUUGUUUUUAUUUUUUUUACUUUUUUGUUUUUUGAGAGAGAUAGGUAGCACGCUACCCGCUUCAUUUACUUCAUUUAGAAAUAAACUUAGCUGAAAAUAUGAAUCAAUUAGGAUUCGAAUUUGGAACCUCGGGUACUAACCACCAAACCCUUUGCCACUUGCUCUAGAGAUGGUUGGUAAAAAACUUCCUUUUCUCACUUGCAGACAACGUUAUUAUCCAGUCGUAGAUGCACAUGAUAUGACAUUUUUGUUUGUCUACAAAUUUUUGACCAAGGAGGGUAAGAAUUAUAGAAAAAUUUUAGUAAGGAGCUUUUCAACGACACUUCAUUAAGAAGCUUUAAUUUAUCAUUACAUGUCAUAUUUAUUUCUAUCUAUGAAUUAUAAUUCUUCCGUCUAAAAUUGUCUUUUAAAAUUUACUAUUUAAAUAUUAUUCAACAAAUUAUUGAAUGGAGAUAAACUAACACGUAACAAUAGAUCUGAUG
This 486-nucleotide long non-coding RNA is filed under the name Ananas comosus (pineapple). RNAcentral describes it as "long non-coding RNA (ACOM_LNC036056)". Lineage: Eukaryota; Viridiplantae; Streptophyta; Magnoliopsida; Poales; Bromeliaceae. The record is from RNAcentral.